Molecule: ribosomal RNA, 764 nt
Filed under: uncultured Peptostreptococcus sp.
Lineage: Bacteria; Bacillati; Bacillota; Clostridia; Peptostreptococcales; Peptostreptococcaceae
Description: bacterial SSU rRNA
Rfam family: Bacterial small subunit ribosomal RNA
Source: RNAcentral
GAUGAACGCUGGCGGCGUGCCUAACACAUGCAAGUCGAGCGAGGGUUUGCUCAGUAUUGAGUAUUCUAAGUCUAGAAUGUUCAAUUCUGAGCAAAACCAAGCGGCGGACGGGUGAGUAACGCGUGGGUAACCUGCCCUAUACACAUGGAUAACAUACUGAAAAGUUUACUAAUACAUGAUAAUAUAUAUUUGUGGCAUCGCAGAUAUAUCAAAGUGUUAGCGGUAUAGGAUGGACCCGCGUCUGAUUAGCUAGUUGGUGAGAUAACUGCCCACCAAGGCGACGAUCAGUAGCCGACCUGAGAGGGUGAUCGGCCACAUUGGAACUGAGACACGGUCCAAACUCCUACGGGAGGCAGCAGUGGGGAAUAUUGCACAAUGGGCGAAAGCCUGAUGCAGCAACGCCGCGUGAACGAUGAAGGUCUUCGGAUCGUAAAGUUCUGUUGCAGGGGAAGAUAAUGACGGUACCCUGUGAGGAAGCCCCGGCUAACUACGUGCCAGCAGCCGCGGUAAUACGUAGGGGGCUAGCGUUAUCCGGAUUUACUGGGCGUAAAGGGUGCGUAGGUGGUCCUUCAAGUCGGUGGUUAAAGGCUACGGCUCAACCGUAGUAAGCCGCCGAAACUGGAGGACUUUGAGUGCAGGAGAGGAAAGUGGAAUUCCCAGUGUAGCGGUGAAAUGCGUAGAUAUUGGGGAGGAACACCAGUAUCGAAUGCGGCUUUCUGGACUGCAACUGACACCGUGGCACUAAAGCGUGGGUUACAAACACG